AUGUCUCGUCCACCAAGAGGGGAAAAUACUUCAUAGGGUUUUCUUUUCCCCACUUCUUCUUAUUCCCAAUAAUCAACCGCCUGCGCCCCUCCCACGACGAUGCCGAAACUUUCCCUCUCUCACCUCUCCCCUCUCUUCCGCUCAUCCUCUCUCUCUCGUUCCCCUUCCUUUUCUCCCUCUCGCCUCUCCAUUUCACCAUUCAUUGGCUCAGAUGCUCCUUCACGCUUCUCCUCCCCCCUCCCUUCACAUCUCACUGGAUCCCUUCAACCACACAACCACUUCUCAGGCUCUGUUGGUCGAGAGAUUGUAGGACGUGGUUGGAAAGCCAUGGGAGUUCAGGGUCCUAGUUGGGGUUUGGCGCGUUCAACUGAAAGUGUCUCCGUUCCUUAUUCUAUUAGCUCUAGAUGUUAUGGAGAGUACGACAACCGCCCUAAUCCUCCAGAUACAGGAAGGAAUCUUAAGACUUUGAACUUCGUUAGGGGAAUUUUAGAGGAAGAUGAAAAGGUUUUUUCGGAUGUUCCUCAGUACCUUAGGCCAACCAAUAUGGAACACAAUGCUGAUAUUGUUCAUAUAAAGCUGAUGCGUAACAAUGCAUUUGUUACUGUUACGGAUAACAAGGGAAAUACGAAGCUCAAGGCCUCUGCUGGUCGUCUUGAAGAACUGAAAGGAGGGGGGGCUAAACUGUCUCGUUAUUCUGGUGAUUCAAUUGCAGAGUAUGUUGGUCGUGAAUCUAGAAAAUUGGGGCUAAAAUCAGUUGUGAUGAGGGUGAAAGGCUUUACCUUUUUUAAGAAGAAAAAGCAAGCCAUCUUGAGUUGGAGAGAUGGAUUUACUGAUUCUAGAAGUGAUCAAAAUCCGAUUGUUUACAUUGAAGAUACGACAAGACGUGCACACAAUGGUUGCCGACUCCCAAAGAAACGCCGUGUGUAGAUUUAUGGUGCUAGAUCUUGCAAUUAUUACAAUAGCAAAGUGGUGAUGAGAUUUGCAGGCUUUUUGAUCGUUGAUACUGGAUUUAUACUCUGAAUCUGGACCCUCAGCAGGGAUGGCCACAUCAUGCGCACAGCAUGUAGAUUCAUAAUUGUUGCUAACAAUGACAUGGAGUUAUACAAAACGUUCUAGAAUCAGAAAGCCUUGACGCAUAGUUGGUAGAGGGUGUUCCUCCACACAACUCUGAAUAGAAUGGAGCAAUAAAGCUACUGAGGGUGGUAUGUUGAUAUGCACAUGAUGGCUCAUUUGAAGUUGCUGCGCUCAUGUUUUCUUGCUAAGUCUUUUCUGAUGAUGUAAUUUGUCGCUGUCUCAGCUUCGGCAGCACAUCCUUUUUAGUCUUGGAGGUACUUGCAUUGCAUCAACUGAUGUGAAAAUGAAUACUGGUCAUAGGGAUGAACUCAAUGGACACGAAUUUGUCUCUUUCUAAUUUUUGAUUAUCGUAUACAUAGUGUCAGUUUCUAAUGUAUGAUUAUCGCAUUCAUAGUCUAUGUAUAUUUAUUAAUGUGUGAGUUUGUAGGACAUCAUGUGGAAGCUGACAUGAAAACCUGUGUUUAUUUAUUUAUUAUUAUUAGCGUAUCUUUGAAAAA
Molecule: RNA transcript, 1571 nt
Organism: Cucumis melo (muskmelon)
Lineage: Eukaryota; Viridiplantae; Streptophyta; Magnoliopsida; Cucurbitales; Cucurbitaceae
Gene name: probable ribosomal protein S11, mitochondrial
Exons: 3
Source: RefSeq, a predicted model, not a curated record